CCUACGGGACGCAGCAGUGAGGAAUAUUGGUCAAUGGGCGGGAGCCUGAACCAGCCAAGCCGCGGGAGGGAAGAAGGUACAGCGUAUCGUAAACCUCUUUUGUCAGGGAACAAAGGCGGGGACUAGUCCCCGGAUGAGGGUACCUGAAGAAAAAGCAUCGGCUAACUCCGUGCCAGCAGCCGCGGUAAUACGGAGGAUGCGAGCGUUAUCCGGAUUCAUUGGGUUUAAAGGGUGCGCAGGCGGGCCUUUAAGCCGGCGGGGAAAACGCGGGGCUCAAACC
RNAcentral lists this ribosomal RNA (280 nucleotides) under uncultured bacterium. Its description in RNAcentral is "partial 16S ribosomal RNA". It matches the Rfam family "Bacterial small subunit ribosomal RNA", at positions 338 to 615 of the family's 1533-position model. The record is from RNAcentral.